UGGUUGAGUAGCAAGCACUGUGGCUGAAAUUUGAAAUCCAGGCUUAAAUGUGCCUCAUUCAUACUGGCAUAACUACUAUUAAAGUUAAGAAGAAUAUAAAUGGAGAAAUCAACUUAAACAAAGGUCAGACAAGAAGAGUGAGUAGUUGCUGAUGCCUGAAAAUAUUUUUGCAAAAGAGAAGAGGAUCUCUUAUGCUACCUCAGGAAAACUGUCACUGCUUUUCUCUUGUCCUCUAAUUCAGUACCACAGAUCAGCAACUACUCUGAGGAAGAAAGCAAUUAAAGAGGAAUUCAGUGCCAAGCCAUGAGUACACGCAGCCCUGUGAAAAGAUCAAGUAGUGAGAAACUGAGUCCUUCUACCAAUAGUCAGUGAGAAAUUGAGGUAUCCUGUCAACAGUCACAUGAGUGAGUCAUUUUGAAAUGGAUUUUCCAUCGCCAGUCAAGCCUAUGGAUGACUGAAGUCUGAGCUUAUAGCAUGACUGCAAACUCUUGAGACUCAAAGCCAUAAUCAUUCAGUUAAGCUGCUUCUGCAUUCUUGACCGUCAACCACUG
This 551-nucleotide long non-coding RNA is filed under the name Homo sapiens (human). RNAcentral describes it as "HSALNT0362337". Lineage: Eukaryota; Metazoa; Chordata; Mammalia; Primates; Hominidae. The record is from RNAcentral.